AGAAACAAAAAGCAUUGAAGAGAGAUGAAGCUGCUGUACCAAUUGACACGCACACGCCACUACAGAUUCCCUUUUCCCUCAGCUAUGGACAUGGAACUUCGACUGAAGCAACUCCUCGAAAUCAGUAUCGGGGCGAAGAUUCCAUGGAGCACAAUUUUUCAAAGAAUCGCAUCGUAGGAGGAGGACAUCGCUUUCGAGCAUGUACUCGUUUCGAAUAACACCUUGGAGCAAUUGUGUAUUGAGUUUGCUCAGGAAGGCAAAACGAAAAAAAAUAUUCCUGCCACCUCAUCAAUCAACAUUGUAACCAAAGCGGCUUUCUUCGAAAGCCAUCACAGAAGAUCUGAUUGCGAGCUAUUCAGUUCGGAGCUGUGUGAAGCAAAAAAUGUAAUAGCAUUCCUUACUUUCUUGCAUAAUAUAUCUUCGCGGUAUCCCC
Long non-coding RNA from Dermacentor albipictus, 433 nucleotides. RefSeq lists it as uncharacterized. NCBI's taxonomy places the organism in Eukaryota, Metazoa, Arthropoda, Arachnida, Ixodida, Ixodidae. The record is from RefSeq and is a predicted model, not a curated record.